CGGAGGGAUCAUUACCCGAGUUUACAACUCCCAAACCCCUGUGAACAUACCUAUACGUUGCCUCGGCGGAUCAGCCCGCGCCCUGUAAAACGGGACGGCCCGCCCGAGGACCCUAAACUCUGUUUUUAGUGGAACUUCUGAGUAAAACAAACAAAUAAAUCAAAACUUUCAACAACGGAUCUCUUGGUUCUGGCAUCGAUGAAGAACGCAGCAAAAUGCGAUAAGUAAUGUGAAUUGCAGAAUUCAGUGAAUCAUCGAAUCUUUGAACGCACAUUGCGCCCGCCAGUAUUCUGGCGGGCAUGCCUGUUCGAGCGUCAUUUCAACCCUCAAGCUCAGCUUGGUGUUGGGACUCGCGGUAACCCGCGUUCCCCAAAUCGAUUGGCGGUCACGUCGAGCUUCCAUAGCGUAGUAAUCAUACACCUCGUUACUGGUAAUCGUCGCGGCCACGCCGUUAAACCCCAACUUCUGAAUGUGACCUCGGAUCA
This 485-nucleotide ribosomal RNA is filed under the name Fusarium equiseti. RNAcentral describes it as "eukaryotic LSU rRNA". The stretch from base 164 to 317 matches the Rfam family "5.8S ribosomal RNA". The record is from RNAcentral. Lineage: Eukaryota; Fungi; Ascomycota; Sordariomycetes; Hypocreales; Nectriaceae.